Molecule: ribosomal RNA, 245 nt
Filed under: uncultured bacterium
Lineage: Bacteria
Description: partial 16S ribosomal RNA
Rfam family: Bacterial small subunit ribosomal RNA
Source: RNAcentral
AUGGCGACCGGCGCACGGGUGAGUAACACGUAUCCAACCUGCCGAUAACUCCGGAAUAGCCUUUCGAAAGAAAGAUUAAUACCCGAUAGCAUAAUGAUUCCGCAUGGUUUCAUUAUUAAAGGAUUCCGGUAAAGGAUGGGGAUGCGUUCCAUUAGGUUGUUGGUGAGGUAACGGCUCACCAAGCCUUCGAUGGAUAGGGGUUCUGAGAGGAAGGUCCCCCACAUUGGAACUGAGACACGGUCCAA